RNAcentral lists this ribosomal RNA (497 nucleotides) under uncultured bacterium. Its description in RNAcentral is "partial 16S ribosomal RNA". It matches the Rfam family "Bacterial small subunit ribosomal RNA", at positions 28 to 507 of the family's 1533-position model. The record is from RNAcentral.
GAUGAACGCUGGCGGCGUGCCUAAUACAUGCAAGUCGAGCGAACAGACGAGGAGCUUGCUCCUCUGACGUUAGCGGCGGACGGGUGAGUAACACGUGGAUAACCUACCUAUAAUACUGGGAUAACUUCGGGAAACCGGAGCUAAUACCGGAUCAUAUAUUGAACCGCAUGGUUCAAUAGUGAAAGACGGUUUUGCUGUCUCUUAUAGCUGGAUCCGCGCCGCAUUAGCUAGUUGGUAAGGUAACGGCUUACCAAGGCAACGAUGCGUAGCCGACCUGAGAGGGGGAUCGGCCACACUGGAACUGAGACGCGGUCCAGGCUCCUACGGGAGGCAGCAGUGGGGAAUCGUGGGCAAUGGGCGAAAGCCUGACGGAGCGAGGCCGCGUGAGUGAUGAAGGUCUUCGGAUCGUAAAACUCUGUUUUGAGGGAAGAACAGAUGUGUAAUGAACUAAGGACGUCUUGACGGUACCGAAUCAAGAAGCCACGGCUAACUACGUG